Molecule: non-coding RNA, 46 nt
Filed under: Schistosoma curassoni
Lineage: Eukaryota; Metazoa; Platyhelminthes; Trematoda; Strigeidida; Schistosomatidae
Source: RNAcentral
GCACUGCCGAGGAGUCACACAAUAAGACGAAACGGCCGUCCAGUGU